This 1274-nucleotide long non-coding RNA is filed under the name Lonchura striata (white-rumped munia). Its description in RNAcentral is "domestica (Bengalese finch) lncRNA (ENSLSDG00000011320.1)". The record is from RNAcentral. Lineage: Eukaryota; Metazoa; Chordata; Aves; Passeriformes; Estrildidae.
CUGCUGGGGGUGAGGAUUUUCGGGAUCAGGAAUGCUCAGCAAGAGGAUGUUCGGAGCAGGAAUGCUGGGUGAAGGCUUGGGGAUGGAAUGUUUGGAGUGAAGGCGCUUGGGGUUAGGACACUUGGGGCAGGGACAUUCGAAAAAGGGAGAUGUGGAGAAGCUCGGGGCAGGGACUCAGAGCAGGGACAAGGAGCAGGGACAAGGGGCAGGACACUCGGAGCAGGGACAUGUGGAGAAUAGACAUGGAGCAGGGACAUGGAGCGGGGACACGGAGCAGGGACAAGGAGCAGGGACACGGAGCAGGGACACGGAGCAGGGACACUCGGAGCAGAAACAUGGAACAGGACAGAGCAGGGACAUUUGGAGAAUAGACAUGGAGCAGGGACAUGGAGCGGGGACACGGAGCAGGGACAAGGAGCAGGGACACUCGGAGCAGAAACAUGGAACAGGACACUCCGAGCAGGGACAUUUGGAGAAUAGACAUGGAGCAGGGACAUGGAGUAGGAUACUCAGAGCAGGGACACGGAGCAGAAACAUGGAACAGGACACAGAGCAGGGACAUUUGGAGAAUAGACAUGGAGCAGGGACAUGGAGUAGGACACUCAGAGCAGGGACAUGGAGCAGGGACAAGGAGCAGGGACACCCGGAGCAGAAACAUGGAGUAGGACACCCAGAGCAGGGACAUGGAGCAGGGACAAGGAGCAGGGACACCGAGCAGGGACACCCGGAGCAGAAACAUGGAGUAGGACACCCAGAGCAGGGACAAGGAGCAGGGACACCGAGCAGGGACACUCGGCCACGCUCAGCACUGCCCCAGCAGCUGCUCCCAGCGGAGCAGUUUUUGGGAAGCCGAAUGCCGCGGCCAGGCCACGCCGUGUGUUCCCAGCACCGGGAGCCGCCAGUUGGCACGGGGAAAGGCUUGGCACGGCACAGCUGCCGGCCCCGGCCGGGAGCCGAGCUCUUGAAAGGGAAAAAAAGGAGAGGGGGGAAAAGAAUCACCCCCACGGGACUAUUUUUGUUUCUCAAAGCAGUUUUUUCCUUAAACACAGCUGGCUCCCCUCGUGCCGGCUCCCAGAUUGGCACCGGGGCCGGCUUGGCAAGGCUGAAUCACCGUGCCUGCUCUGUCCCUGGGGAAGGGAAAGCAGGGAGGGAGAGGAGGGAAGAGGAAGGGGAGAAAGGAAAGGGGAAGCAGAAAAAGAGGAAGGGAGGAGGUAGAGAAAGGAGAAGUCAAGUGGAAGGAGAAUACGGGGAAGGAGAUUAUAGCAAAGAGAAAG